Molecule: unclassified non-coding RNA, 329 nt
Filed under: soil metagenome
Description: partial contains 5.8S ribosomal RNA, internal transcribed spacer 2, and large subunit ribosomal RNA
Rfam family: 5.8S ribosomal RNA (bases 1-120)
Source: RNAcentral
GAUGAAGAACGUAGCGAAAUGCGAUAAGUAGUGUGAAUUGCAGAAUUCAGUGAAUCAUCGAAUCUUUGAACGCACAUUGCGCCCCUUGGUAUCCCGAGGGGCAUGCCUGUUCGAGCGUCAUUUCACCACUCAAGCCUGGCUUGGUGUUGGGCGACGUCCUCUUUGGGGACGCGCCUCGAAACGCUCGGCGGCGUGGCACCGGCUUUAAGCGUAGCAGAAUCUUUCGCUUUGGAAGUCGGGGCCCCGUCUGCCGGAAGAACUGCUCGCAAGGUUGACCUCGGAUCAGGCAGGGAUACCCGCUGAACUUAAGCAUAUCAAUAAGCGGAGGA